GACGAACGCUGGCGGCGUGCCUAAUACAUGCAAGUCGAACGAACCGCGACUAGGUGCUUGCACUUGGUCAAGGUGAGUGGCGAACGGGUGAGUAACACGUGGGUAACCUACCUCAUAGUGGGGGAUAACAGUCGGAAACGACUGCUAAUACCGCAUAGGACAUAGGAUCACAUGAUCCAGUGAGGAAAGGUGGCGCAAGCUAUCGCUAAGAGAUGGACCCGCGGUGCAUUAGCUAGUUGGUAGGGUAAAGGCCUACCAAGGCGAUGAUGCAUAGCCGACCUGAGAGGGUGAUCGGCCACAUUGGGACUGAGACACGGCCCAAACUCCUACGGGAGGCAGCAGUAGGGAAUCUUCCGCAAUGGACGCAAGUCUGACGGAGCAACGCCGCGUGAGUGAAGAAGGUCUUCGGAUCGUAAAGCUCUGUUGUUAGGGAAGAACAGCGCAUAGAGUAACUGUUAUGCGUGUGACGGUAUCUAAACAGAAAGCCACGGCUAACUACGUG
Molecule: ribosomal RNA, 502 nt
Filed under: uncultured bacterium
Lineage: Bacteria
Description: partial 16S ribosomal RNA
Rfam family: Bacterial small subunit ribosomal RNA
Source: RNAcentral